CCUACGGGAGGCAGCAGUGAGGAAUAUUGGUCAAUGGCCGGAAGGCUGAACCAGCCAUGCCGCGUGAAGGUCAGUGCCCUAUGGGCGUUAAACUUCUUUUGUGCGGGAGCAAUAAUGGUCACGUGUGGCCAGACGAGAGUACCGUACGAAUAAGCAUCGGCUAACUCCGUGCCAGCAGCCGCGGUAAUACGGGGGAUGCAAGCGUUUUCCGGAUUUAUUGGGGUUAAAGGGGGCGUAGGCUGUGAGGUAAGUCAGCGGUGAAAUGCCCCCGCUCAACGGGGUGAAGUGCCAUUGAUACUGCCUUGCUGGAAUGCGGAUGCCGUGGGAGGAAUGUGUGGUGUAGCGGUGAAAUGCAUAGAUAUCACACAGAACACCGAUUGCGAAGGCAUCUCACGAAUCCGCGAUUGACGCUGAUGCACGAAAGCGUGGGUAUCAAACAGGAUUAGAUACCCUUGUAGUC
This 460-nucleotide ribosomal RNA is filed under the name uncultured bacterium. Its description in RNAcentral is "partial 16S ribosomal RNA". It matches the Rfam family "Bacterial small subunit ribosomal RNA", at positions 338 to 795 of the family's 1533-position model. The record is from RNAcentral.